UCAGGAGGUGUCCAAAUGCCUACCACUUCCCCAAUCAAUGAUUACCUCACCUGUUCACUAUUCUCUCAUUUUAAUUUGAUAGCUCUCCAUUUAGCCACCAAGGAAAAAAACUCUUCAACAUGCAGUUAUUUACAUACAAUCUAAUCUCUCACAUUUCAGUAAUUUCCCUUGAAGAUUUGGAGCAACAUGUAAUCUGGAUGAAAAGGGGACAGUUGUCAAUGUAUGGGAAUUGUGCGUGAACUGAGUGGCACAUCGACAAGACCGAGAGGCCGGACACACAUGUAGAGGGACGGACGCAAGCUUUUUUUUCUUCCUGACGACGUCCUUCGACGCCAGAGCCACAGAUGUAGUGUUGGUGGAGAAUACCUACAUAGCCUAGAAUUUAUCCUUGGAUACAAAAUUCCCAUGAAGCUACACAGAGAGACAGCUAGGUCUGCUGUCAUGAACUUUCAGCGAGCCCGAGGUUUAGAAUGCAAGGUGUACGUGGCGACCUUCGUGUCAAACAUUAGCCUCGACCACAAAAAUGGUACGGCAGCCAUCUUUUCUUUCUCUAGCAGUGUUUUGUUCUAGUUCUGUUCAGAGUGAUGAUCUGGACACCAUUUGUAACUUUACGACUCUGUAUUAAACCCUGCGGCUUCAUUAAGAAUCACUUGAAAAUAAGGUCUGAUGCAUAAAAGCCUGACAGACUUUUAUGCGCUCAUUAAUAAACAUUUAUGACUUAAUUCUAA
Long non-coding RNA from Oncorhynchus tshawytscha (Chinook salmon), 728 nucleotides. Lineage: Eukaryota; Metazoa; Chordata; Actinopteri; Salmoniformes; Salmonidae. The record is from Ensembl.